Molecule: long non-coding RNA, 891 nt
Filed under: Salmo salar (Atlantic salmon)
Lineage: Eukaryota; Metazoa; Chordata; Actinopteri; Salmoniformes; Salmonidae
Description: lncRNA (ENSSSAG00000108088.1)
Source: RNAcentral
CAUAAUAAAAUGUUUUAAUGGAGAAGAGUGUCGUGCCUCCACCACUUUUUAUGGAUCAUGUAAUAUCAUAGAAUGUAAAAAGUGAACAGCCCGCUACACAAGCAUUUAGAUAGGUAUUACUGUUGGAGCUAGAAACACAAGCAUUUAGGUAGGUAUUACAGUACUGUUGGAGCAAGAAACACAAGCAUUUAGCUAGGUAUUACAGCACUGUUGGAGCAAGAAACACAAGCAUUUAGCUAGGUAUUACUGUUGGAGCUAGAAACACAAGCAUUUAGCUAGGUAUUACUGUUGGAGCUAGAAACACAAGCAUUUAGCUAGGUAUUACAGUACUGUUGGAGCAAGAAACACAAGCAUUUAACUAGGUAUUACUGUUGGAGCUAGAAACACAAGCAUUUAGCUAGGUAUUACAGUACUGUUGGAGCAAGAAACACAAGCAUUUAGCUAGGUAUUACUGUUGGAGCUAGAAACACAAGCAUUUAGCUAGGUAUUACUGUUGGAGCUAGAAACACAAGAAUUUAGCUAGGUAUUACUGUUGGAGCUAGAAACACAAGCAUUUAGCUAGGUAUUACUGUUGGAGCUAGAAACACAAGCAUUUAGCUAGGUAUUACAGUACUGUUGGAGCUAGAAACAAGCAUUUAGCUAGGUAUUACAGUACUGUUAUAGCUAGAAACACAAACAUUUAGCUAGGUAUUACUGUACUGUUGGAGCUAGAAACAUAAGCAUUUAGCUAGGUAUUACUGUUGGAGCUCGAAACACAAGCAUUUAGAUAGGUAUUACUGUACUGUUGGAGCUAGAAACAUAAGCAUUUAGCUAGGUAUUACUGUUGGAGCUCAAAACACAAGCAUUUAGCUAGGUAUUACAGUACUGUUGGAGCUCGAAACACAAGCAUUU